Molecule: ribosomal RNA, 253 nt
Filed under: uncultured bacterium
Lineage: Bacteria
Description: partial 16S ribosomal RNA
Rfam family: Bacterial small subunit ribosomal RNA
Source: RNAcentral
UACAGAGGGUGCGAGCGUUAAUCGGAAUUACUGGGCGUAAAGCGCACGUAGGUGGCGACGUAAGUCGGGUGUGAAAGCCCCGGGCUCAACCUGGGAAUUGCAUUCGAGACUGCAUUGCUGGAGUACGGAAGAGGAGGGCGGAAUUCCCGGUGUAGCGGUGAAAUGCGUAGAUAUCGGGAGGAACAUCAGUGGCGAAGGCGGCCCUCUGGUCCAGUACUGACACUCAAGUGCGAAAGCGUGGGGAGCAAGCAGG